GGAGGUCACCCGAAUCGGUGAGGAAGCGGUUUUGAAAACCGCCGGUCGAAAGACUUGUGGGUUCGAGUCCCACGGCCUCCG
This 81-nucleotide transfer RNA is filed under the name Planctomycetaceae bacterium. Its description in RNAcentral is "tRNA-Ser". It matches the Rfam family "tRNA". Rfam says of the family: Transfer RNA (tRNA) molecules are approximately 80 nucleotides in length. Their secondary structure includes four short double-helical elements and three loops (D, anti-codon, and T loops). RNAcentral also lists the same sequence under 2 other names. The record is from RNAcentral. Lineage: Bacteria; Pseudomonadati; Planctomycetota; Planctomycetia; Planctomycetales; Planctomycetaceae.